This is an RNA transcript of Pyrus x bretschneideri (Chinese white pear), 3220 nucleotides long. It is a transcript of the gene named hydroxymethylglutaryl-CoA lyase, mitochondrial-like, with no coding region annotated. The transcript has 12 exons. The record is from RefSeq and is a predicted model, not a curated record. NCBI's taxonomy places the organism in Eukaryota, Viridiplantae, Streptophyta, Magnoliopsida, Rosales, Rosaceae.
GCCGUGUAGUUUUACCGUAUUACCCUCAUGACCCUCCCUGCUGUUAUCUCCGCCACUAACCUUAUCCUGUGCGCGCGCGCGCACAAAUUACACAAUACAAGAUCAAUCUCGUACCGGCGACGACGACUGUGCCCGUUCCCGGAAAACUGUCGUCAUUGAGGGUUUGUGGAUUAAGAUUGAGAUUGAGAUUGAGAUUGAGUCUGCGAUUGCGAUUGAGUGUGGUGGCUGCCUGCCUGCAAGUGCAAUGUUUGGUUUGCAUAAGUUGUCAAGACAAAUGAGGAAUGUGAAGCGAACACUAGCAGGAUUCGGUGGGGGGAAAUUUGAGGCUUCCUAUUUGUCAAGUCGUAAUUUCAGCACUCAGCAGCAGCAGCAGCAUCGGGUUUUAAAAGACAUUCCGGAAUGUGUAAAGAUUGUAGAAGUUGGUCCGAGGGAUGGACUGCAGAAUGAGAAGAACAUUGUUCCUACCGCUGUCAAGGUUCAAUUGAUUCAAAUGCUUGUUUCUUCUGGCUUGCCUGUUGUCGAGCCUACAAGUUUUGUCUCCCCAAAAUGGGUUCCUCAGCUGGCAGAUGCAAAAGAUGUAAUGGCCGCUAUUCGGCAUAUUGAAGGUGCUAGAUUUCCCGUCCUAACCCCUAAUCUUAAAGGAUUUGAGACAGCUGUUGCUGCUGGUGCAAAGGAAGUCGCCAUAUUUGCCUCAGCUUCUGAAUCUUUCUCAAAAUCAAAUAUAAAUUGCAGUAUUGAAGAUAGUCUUGUUCGAUAUAGUGAUGUUUCUAUUGCUGCCAGAAAGCUUUCAAUUCCUGUUCGUGGAUAUAUAUCGUGUGUUGUGGGGUGUCCGGUGGAAGGAAAGAUAUCCCCAUCACAAGUAGCAUAUGUGGCGAAAGAACUUUAUGAUAUGGGUUGCUCAGAAAUUUCUCUUGGUGAUACAAUUGGUGUCGGUACUCCAGGUACUGUCAUUCCAAUGCUUGAAGCUGUUAUUGACGUGGUCCCGACUGAUAAGCUUGCUGUCCAUUUUCACGACACUUAUGGGCAAGCUCUUUCAAACAUACUAGCGUCACUCCAGAUAGGAAUCAGCACAGUGGAUUCUUCAGUAUCAGGUCUUGGGGGUUGUCCGUAUGCUAAGGGAGCUUCCGGAAAUGUUGCCACGGAAGAUGUUGUGUACAUGCUUAAUGGACUUGGAGUGAAGACCAAUGUAGAUCUUAAAAAGCUCAUGUUGGCUGGGGACUAUAUCAGUAAGCACUUGGGGCGCUCGUCUGGUUCAAAGACGGCAGUUGCCUUGAGUAAAAUCGCAGCUCCUGCCUCAAAGCUAUGAGGUACCACCACUCUUGUUAUGAAUUGUUUUAGGCACGUACAAGGAGCUGAUUGCAGAUCCUAAUGGUGAACUUGUGAGGCAAAUGACAGCACAUACAAAAUCUCUACAGCAAGUUCGGACGUGUCCGCAAGAUUCUUCAGAACACACUACUUCUUGCCGUAAUACAAACAGAACUGCUAAAAUAUUACACGUAGAAAUAGUGGAAGAAACUUCCAUUAACGACAUUGUUGUUAAUAAGAAUAGCCGAGAAGAGGAAGAAGAAGCUCACACAGGACGAGUAAGUGGAGUGUGUAUUCGACCUUCGUGACUCGUGCAUAUGGAGGCACACUUGUUCCUGUUAUCUUGCUCUGUCGAGUUCUCUUCCAGGGGCUUGAAAUAGUAAGAAACUACUGGAUUGUUUGGGCGUCAAAGAAGGAAAAUGGAAUUACCAUAGAAGAGAUGAUCUGGUUUUUCGCUUUGUUAUCGGGAGGGAGGGAGGGAGGGAGCUGUGUCUUCAUCUUGGUAAGGGCUGUUAUAACUUCAGCCGUCACCAUUGAAACUUCCCAGCGUCUCUUGCAUGGGUGGUGAGUUCAGUUUUCUGAGCACCUACGGUGUUUUUCGAUUCCACUCCUUCUAGUCGAAUCCUCAAUAGGUCUUCGACUGAUCAAAGCACAGUGGACACGGAUAUUCCAUUCAGAUUAGCUGGAUUAGUAUUUGCACUCAUCCAGCUAAUAGGUUCCGUCAUCCUUAUGUCUGUAGUGGCCUGGCAAGUCAUCCUCCUUUUCCUUGUCGUCUUUGCGCUCUCUGCGUGGUACAUGGUGUACUGCAUUAGCACUGCCUGAGAAUUAUCCAGGAUGGUUGCAAUUCAAAAGGCUCCAAUACUGCAUCAAUUUUCUGAAUCAAUCACGAGGGCUGCAACUAUUCGUUGUUAAAAUCAAGAACAAGAUCGCUUCAUGAAGAAAGUAAGAAGUGUGAUUGAUGAUUUUUCAGGAGUAGCCUUUCACAAUUAUGCAACCACGAAAUGGCUCUCUCUGCCAUUUCGUGGCUCUCUCUGCGAAUGAACUUUCUCUUCAACUUAGCCUUUUUCAUAGUCCUCAUCAUCUUGGUGACCUUGCCUGCAUCCGCCAUUUAUCCCAGUUUGACAAGAUUGGCUGCAUCUUAUUGCUUUAACCUCAUGGUCCUUCAGGCUUGGUUAUCUGGAAUCUAUUCAAUGUCGAAAACUCAAUGAUAUCAGUUGAGAGAAUUCUUGAAUUCACAAGAAUACCAAGUGAGGCACCGCUUGUGAUUGAAGGUUCUAGGCCAAACGCUGGUUGGCCAACUGAAGGAAAAGUCGAACUUCAGAACCUGCAAGUUCAGUAUCACCCAGCUCUCCCAAUGGUGAUCAAGGGGGUCACCUGCACCUUCCCGGGAAAUAUGAAAGUCGGUGUUGUGGGAAGGACAGGAAGUGGAAAGUCUACUUUGAUUCAAGCACUGUUCCGAAUAGUAGAACCAUCAGGAGGGAAGAUUCUCAUUGACAAAUUAGACAUUUCAAAAUUGGGUUGCAAGACUCAAGAUUCAACCUUAUUUCAAGUAACUGUGAGGACUAAUCUGGAUUCCCUGGAGCAGAAUUCCUGUCACAAAAUAUUUGGAAUCUCGUCGAGUAUGCAACAUAGUAAGCUUGACUUGCUAGAACCAACAGCACCGCAAACACUAGAAGUGGAAUAAGCCAAAAACUCCGUGACUGGAAGAGAAGAACUCCCCGAUUGCUUCUACGUCCAUGCUGAUUAAAUUUAUGAUAUUUCCAUUGGUUGGGCAGGCUAGAGCUAAGAACCAAAACUAGUUCAUCAACUAUAUGGUCUUUUCAUUAACUUUUGCUCCUGAAUUUUGCCUAUUGGGAAGCGAUUGUUGUAAAAACUCGAGUUCAGUGUUAAGAUAAGAUUACGAUAUUUUACCUAA